This 95-nucleotide non-coding RNA is filed under the name bovine gut metagenome. RNAcentral's name for it is "TPP riboswitch (THI element)". The stretch from base 3 to 87 matches the Rfam family "TPP riboswitch aptamer (THI element)", at positions 10 to 89 of the family's 105-position model. From Rfam's summary of the family: Vitamin B(1) in its active form thiamin pyrophosphate (TPP) is an essential coenzyme that is synthesised by coupling of pyrimidine and thiazole moieties in bacteria. The previously detected thiamin-regulatory element, thi box was extended, resulting in a new, highly conserved RNA secondary structure, the THI element, which is widely distributed in eubacteria and also occurs in some archaea. The record is from RNAcentral.
CGCAGGGGUGCCGCAUUGAUUGAGGCUGAGACAGAGUAUUUCACUCUGAACCCUUUGACCUGAUACGGAUAAUGCCGUCGUAGGAAGUUUUUUAU